AACGAACGCUGGCGGCAGGCUUAACACAUGCAAGUCGAACGCAUCCUUCGGGGUGAGUGGCAGACGGGUGAGUAACGCGUGGGAACGUGCCCUUCAGUUCGGGAUAACCCAGGGAAACUUGGGCUAAUACCGGAUACGUGCGAGAGCAGAAAGAUUUAUCGCUGAAGGAUCGGCCCGCGUCUGAUUAGCUAGUGGGUGGGGUAAUGGCCCACCAAGGCGACGAUCAGUAGCUGGUCUGAGAGGAUGAUCAGCCACAUUGGGACUGAGACACGGCCCAAACUCCUACGGGAGGCAGCAGUGGCGAAUAUUGGACAAUGGGCGCAAGCCUGGUCCAGCCAUGCCGCGUGAGUGAUGAAGGCCUUAGGGUUGUAAAGCUCUUUCGUCCGGGACGAUACUGACGGUACCGGAAGAAGAAGCCCCGGCUAACUUCGUGCCAGCAGCCGCAGUCA
Molecule: ribosomal RNA, 449 nt
Filed under: uncultured bacterium
Lineage: Bacteria
Description: partial 16S ribosomal RNA
Rfam family: Bacterial small subunit ribosomal RNA
Source: RNAcentral